This 415-nucleotide ribosomal RNA is filed under the name uncultured bacterium. RNAcentral's name for it is "partial 16S ribosomal RNA". It matches the Rfam family "Bacterial small subunit ribosomal RNA", at positions 359 to 774 of the family's 1533-position model. The record is from RNAcentral.
GAAUAUUGCACAAUGGGCGCAAGCUUGAUGCAGCGACGCCGCGGGAGGGAUGACGGCUUUCGGGUUGUAAACCUCUUUCGAUGGGGAACAAGGCCAUAUUUGUGUGUGGUUGAGGGUACCAGUAUAACACGCGCCGGCUAACUACGUGCCAGCCGCCGCGGUAAUACGUAGGGCGCGAGCGUUGUCCGGAAUUAUUGGGCGUAAAGAGCUCGUGGGCGGCUUGUCGCGGCUGCUGUGAAAACGCGGGGCUUAACUCCGCGCUUGCAGUGGGUACGGGCAGGCUUGAGUGUAGUAGGGGAGACUGGAAUUCCUGGUGUAGCGGUGGAAUGCGCAGAUAUCAGGAGGAACACCGAUGGCGAAGGCAGGUCUCUGGGCUAUUACUGACGCUGAGGAGCGAAAGCAUGGGGAGCGAACA